Molecule: ribosomal RNA, 497 nt
Filed under: uncultured bacterium
Lineage: Bacteria
Description: partial 16S ribosomal RNA
Rfam family: Bacterial small subunit ribosomal RNA
Source: RNAcentral
GAUGAACGCUGGCGGCGUGCCUAAUACAUGCAAGUCGAGCGAACAGACGAGGAGCUUGCUCCUCUGACGUUAGCGGCGGACGGGUGAGUAACACGUGGAUAACCUACCUAUAAGACUGGGAUCACUUCGGGAAACCGGAGCUAAUACCGGAUAAUAUAUUGAACCGCAUGGUUCAAUAGUGAACGACGGUUUUGCUGUCACUUAUAGAUGGAUCCGCGCCGCAUUAGCUAGUUGGUAAGGUAACGGCUUACCAAGGCAACGAUGCGUAGCCGACCUGAGAGGGUGAUCGGCCACACUGGAACUGAGACACGGUCCAGACUCCUACGGGAGGCAGCAGUAGGGAAUCUUCCGCAAUGGGCGAAAGCUUGACGGAGCAACGCCGCGUGAGUGAUGAAGGUCUUCGGAUCGUAAAACUCUGUUAUUAGGGAAGAACAAAUGUGUAAGUAACUAUGCACGUCUUGACGGUACCUAAUCAGAAAGCCACGGCUAACUACGUG